Molecule: ribosomal RNA, 120 nt
Organism: Pteropus vampyrus (large flying fox)
Lineage: Eukaryota; Metazoa; Chordata; Mammalia; Chiroptera; Pteropodidae
Source: Ensembl
CACUACGGCCAUGCCAUCUUGAACACACCCAAUCCCAUCUGAUCCCAGAAGCUAAAGAGGGGUCAGGCCUGGUUAGUACUUGGAUGGGAGAUCACUUAGGAAGACCAGGUGUUGUAGGCA